This 756-nucleotide ribosomal RNA is filed under the name Chaetothyriales sp. Its description in RNAcentral is "bacterial SSU rRNA". It matches the Rfam family "Bacterial small subunit ribosomal RNA", at positions 246 to 1006 of the family's 1533-position model. Lineage: Eukaryota; Fungi; Ascomycota; Eurotiomycetes; Chaetothyriales. The record is from RNAcentral.
GUACUAGUAAUAAACUAGCUCGUGUUCCAGCAGUCGAGACUGAGAGGUCGAUCGACCACAUUGGGUAUGAAAAAAGCCCAAGGCGAACAGCACAGCAGUGAGGAAUAUUGGUCAAUGGUCUAACGACUGAACCAGCAAUUUGGAAGAACGUAUAAUAAAUAAAUUUUAAAGUUCUAGAUAAAAUAUUUAUAAUGACUAUUUUUUAUCUAUAAGUCUUGGCCAAAUUACGUGCCAGCAGUCGCGGUAAUACGUAAAAGACGAGUGUUAUUCAUCUUUAAUCGGUUUAAAGGGUACCUAGACGGAAAAUCAAGCUUAAUUAAACUAAGGACUAGUUUUCUAGAGUUUGACAUGAGAAGGUACGAACUAUCAGAGGAGAGAUAAAAUUUGUUGAUACUGGUGGGACGGACAACGGCGAAGGCAAUCUUCUACUAAAAACUGACGUUGAGGGACGAAGCCUUGGGGAGCGAGAAGGAUUAGAUACCCUAGUAGUCCUUGGAGAAAAUUAUGAGUGCCAUAGACUAAAGUGAAAAAGAAGUUCUUUUAAAAGAACUUUGUAUCUGAGCCUUAAUUGGAUACAAAGGUCUCGAGUAGCAGUUUAUAAAUGAAAGUGUAAGCAUUCCACCUCAUGACUAAAGCGGCAACGCCCAAAUUGAAAUCAUUAGACCGUUUCUGAAACCAGUAGUGAAGUAUGUUAUUUAAUUCGAUAACCCGCGAAUAACCUUACCACGUUUUGAAUUUAUUAAACAAGUGUUGCAC